GAGAGGGAGAGAAAUUCUGGGUCUAGAAAUUUUGAGCUUCUCUGUCUUCUCCAUCGGUCUUCCUCAUCCUUCCUUCUCCAAUGUUCUUCCCGUGUCACCGGCGAUCGUGGAUGCUCAGCACUGCCUUGCAAAAAUGCCCAGUGUGUCUCUGUAGGUGCUGCCAUUAGCGAGUCCUUCUUCAUGCUCUCUGCCUCUGUUCCUUUUUUUUUCGUGCUGCUGUUCUAUCUUGCUGUGCACAUCUGGGUCGUUGGCUAAUGGAAGAAAUCAGGUCGCUGGAGUGGGUGUACUGAUCGCCAAUCUGAAUCAGCGCUGAGUUCCUUUUUCUUCUGUGAGUGAUGCUCUAUUUUCCUUCUUUUUGGUUCAGACAAAAAUCUUAUCUUCUCUUCCUAUUCGGUUGACAGCCUCUUAGUUUCUUCCUCCUUCAUUUUGUUCGUUUGUGGUUGGGAAGUGAAGGAAGAGCUAAUAUGGUGCUGUGGAAGGAUUAAUUCGUGGGUUGAGGCAGAAAUAUUGCUAUAUUCUUCUUCCCCUGUUCAGUUGUGGAUUCAUUUUUCUUCCUCCCUCUGUGUGUGUGCACUGUCGGCUAACUAAGGAUGCUAAGAGAAAGGAGGAGUUGAUUGAAGUUCUAAGAAAUGAAUUUUGAUGCUCGGGCAUAUUAUAGGAAAAUGUUAUAUAUUCAUUUUAUCGAGGAUAAUAUACACCAUCAUCGCAUGUUGUAGGUAUUGGAGUUGUACUAUUUUUACCUUUUGAUUUAUGUUUUAUUUCGUUGAGUAAUUGUGCUUAUCAAUAAAUUUUUAUUUGUUUCUUAGCCAUGUCUAUAUUUUGGACACCAAUAAAUGAUGUUAUGCUAUUAUUUUUUUGUAGGAUAGCUUCUACUUUUUUAUAAGAAGACUCAUAGUAUCAUCAUGAUAUGUUUUAGGUAUCAAAGGUUGAGUGAUAUCUUAUAAAGUCAUCUCGCUGAGUUUUAUGCGUUAGUUUGCUUUUCAAGAAAUAUAUCAUGACUUCUUGCUGAAACAUUUUGCACCAUGGUGUUGGUAUUGAAGCUCUUCUGUAUUUUUGUUAAAUUUUA
This is a long non-coding RNA of Prosopis cineraria, 1066 nucleotides long. RefSeq lists it as uncharacterized. The record is from RefSeq and is a predicted model, not a curated record. The transcript has 4 exons. NCBI's taxonomy places the organism in Eukaryota, Viridiplantae, Streptophyta, Magnoliopsida, Fabales, Fabaceae.